AUUCCAGCUCCAAUAGCGUAUAUUAAAGUUGUUGCGGUUAAAAAGCUCGUAGUUGGAUUUCUGCCGAGGAUGACCGGUCCGCCCUGUGGGUGUGCAUCUGGCUCAGCCUUGGCAUCUUCCUGAAGAACGUAGCUGCACUUGACUGUGUGGUGCGGUAUUUAGGACAUUUACUUUGAGGAAAUUAGAGUGUUUCAAGCAAGCGCACGCUUUGAAUACAUUAGCAUGGAAUAAUAAGAUAGGACCUCGGCUCUAUUUUGUUGGUUUCUAGAGCUGAGGUAAUGAUUGAUAGGGAUAGUUGGGGGCAUUCGUAUUUAACUGUCAGAGGUGGAAUUCUCUAAUUUGAUAAAGACUAACUUAUGCGAAAGCAUUUGCCAAGGAUGUUUUCAUUA
RNAcentral lists this ribosomal RNA (389 nucleotides) under Biecheleria sp. RNAcentral describes it as "partial small subunit ribosomal RNA". It matches the Rfam family "Eukaryotic small subunit ribosomal RNA", at positions 582 to 975 of the family's 1831-position model. The record is from RNAcentral. Lineage: Eukaryota; Dinophyceae; Suessiales; Biecheleriaceae.